Long non-coding RNA from Acanthaster planci (crown-of-thorns starfish), 3131 nucleotides. RefSeq lists it as uncharacterized. Lineage: Eukaryota; Metazoa; Echinodermata; Asteroidea; Valvatida; Acanthasteridae. The record is from RefSeq and is a predicted model, not a curated record.
GUUUCAGAAGCUAACUGACGUUGGCGAAGCUCUCCGCAACAUAAGGCAUCGAGAGAAGUGAUGUCAAGACGUCGUUGAAUUGACAGGUGCCACUGUAGCUUACCCACUGAAUUUCUGCCCACACCAUUAGUUAAUAAUCUUGGUCCUGGUUCAUGUUGUGCCAGCAUCACUUACACCACCCCCUAAAUUGGUGGCUAAAUUGGUGAACGAUGUGUGAAGGGAAGCCACAAUGUUGAGGACACACCAGCUAAUGACAGCAUACUGCAGGGAGUACACUUACAUGUAUCUUGUCAGAAAAUUGCAACACCCAUAAGGAGCAUAAAACUUAACAGGCCACAUGCUUCAACCAUAUAUGCACUCAUGCACACUGGCAGGUGCACUUAACACAAUCUUGUGAAAUCUAAAUUUGGAGGAUUCCUAAAACAGUAAGGAGAACUACAUGUAUAUGGUAGCUUCAAAUAGCUUCAGCUUUGUUUACAAAUACUGAAAUGUAAAAUUUUUCUUGACAUUCGGGAGGUAUUUCUUAGUGCUAUGUUGCAUAAAAAUCCCUGAUUACAAAUAUAUAGGAUUAAAAAAAAAAUUGACAAAUAACAUGGACACUUUAUCCCUGUCUCAAUUUCGUGGAAUGACACUCGUAGCACUGUUAAGCACUGAGUCAGAGGCAUCUCAAAUGAAUUGUAUAAUUACAGCAAUGUGAAAUAGUUUUGAGCUUAUUCACAAGUUAAUUCAUUUUUUUUUUAUUUAUUGCAAUUCGUGGUGCAAAAAUGAUUUCAAUUGACCAGCCAUUAAACAGCCCAGUAGGAUGCCUUGCUUGCUGCUUCUGCGUCUGUCUGUAUACAAUGCACUACUGGGCUAUUCUGAUAUAGUUUGGGUGGGGUUCAUGUGGCAGCAGCAAAAAUUAAAUUUUAAAGUAAGCAGGAUGUUGUGUUUUCGAAUCCUAGCCUGGCACACUGUGGAGUUUUUUCUCAGGGAAGCACUGUUGUGUUAAUAAAUGUUGCAGGAAAAAAAAUGACAAGCCUACUUUAUAUUGCAAUUUCCACAUUUAUUACAUGUUACAUGUACUUCCUUGAAAAUUGAAAUAGUUGAUUUAAAGAAUGAAGAUUUUAGGAGUGUUCUUUAAUCACUGAUAUUGAUGCCAGAGUCCAAAAGUCGAGUAUCAUGACGACUAGUACACAUUUCAAAUGUGUCACAUAAUUUUGUACAUGAGUACCUGCAGGAUUUUUAAGAACUCUGCUCUAUUCCACAUCUUUAGGGAGACCACUGUCGUCAGUUAUGCCACCUACAUGAAAGCCUUUCGUCAAUAUGGACAAAUUCAACCGAAAACGGCGUCAUACAGGAUGUUUUGAUGAAACCUCAAUUUUAUUUUACAAAUUGACAAAGUAGUGGAUAGUAUAAUGUGUAAUUUUCCAACAUUUGGCUGGAUAUACGACACGAGAGGCUGCCAUGACUCGGCGUUUAUCGUAAUUAGUUGUGGUACCAACUGUGUCUACUCCCACUCGUUGCUGGACUGCGUAAAAUCCUGCAGUAGGAUUACAAAGUUCUAUAAUUACGCAGUGACCGUCUAUCACAGUAAAAUGUUGAACGUUUAUUUAAUCUCAGAGUUUCGUUCAUCAUGUUCACUUUAUAAUUCUUUCAGUCUUUCUGCAGAUCCAACCUUUAAUUUUUUUUACUGUAUCAUUUCACUUUUACGAAGUUUGUUGUUAUAGGUAUAUAUACAUGGGUAGGUCUUUAUCAUUGUAUGGAUAUUCCAUUUUAUUUUAAUCUAUUUGCUCUUUUUUUUCCUCAAUGUUUUUGCUCAAAUCUCCUACCUUAUUUUACCAUUUCUGCAACUUGAAUUUAGCGGUGAUGUUAUCAUGUCUUUGGAAACUCUCAUUUUAAAAGGUGGUGCAUUCAUUGCUUACGACGUUUCAAGUUAGCGUGAGGAGUUUCGUCAAGUGUGCUCCAGUUCGAAUUGGAUACACUUGGUGCUUGCAGUGACCGCAAUGAUUUUGAAUUAUACAGAUCCCAAAUUAAGUAUGUCUUCUGCAAACACAAAGUUGCGACAUUUUCUGGUUUAUCCAGGGUCUGGGUCUCUCUUGGUGGCGCUACCAUAUGCACGUCGCCCAACGAGCUGUGUGGUGGGGGGAUGCUUCACCUCAGACCCUAAUAGUGCAUUUCAUCGAGCCUGCUCUCGGGUGGUUUGUCAGACCCAGUUCGACCGGGGUUGUUACAUAUUGCAGAGGCAGCAUACAGCGACCCCCGCCCCAUCAACGGCUGUACGUGCAACGUCUGAUGUUGGCUUGUUUAGUAUAGAAACAAUUCGACGACAAAGCGUAAAUGUGAAAGUAGGAUUAUACUUCAGUCAGGGAAAACUGACUUAAAUUAAAUUUUGUGAAACAAAAACUGAUUUCCCUAGAAAAUCAGAGACGCUGAAGUUUACAAACACAAUAAUAGCAGUAAUUAUGGACGUAGUGUAUAGCAUUUGAAUAGAAAGGGUUACUGUUUUUACUACUCUUAGGGUAUUAUAUCGGUUAUGGAAAUUUUAAUGACGGUGAAAAAUGUCCUGUUCUAACAUUUCGUAUCCAAGACAUUUGCCUAUAUUGAAGAACCUUAUACUAUUGCAUACACCAUUUUGAGGAGUGUUCUCCUAAGUUUAAUGUGUCACUGUGAGUGGCUAUAGGACUAACGCUUGGCAAACGCUAUAUAUAUUCGGUUUUGGCUGAGCUUUAAAUUGUAUAUAUUGCUCUCAACCGGUUGAAUGUGCAUAAAUCCUAUGAGUACUUCACUAUUUAAAGCGAGUGAAUUACCUCUUAAAUUUUGACAAGUUUGUGGGGUAAAAGUUGCUUAAUUGCGGUUAUCUGGUAGAUGCAAUACAUGUAUUUGUAAUAAUAACUUUCACGGCCUUUCUGGUUCCUGUGAUUGCAUUUUGGGAGCUUCUCCCUCCGUGUGUCAAGAAAUGGUUAUUGGAGGCACAGCGCCCUCAUUGCCCACGUCCGUAAAUGUGUAAAUACUCUGCUUUGAAUUUUCAAGUUCAUGCAUUUUACACUGGAACGGUAGUGUUGACUCUUUCAGAUGUGUGGUUGUUAUAAAGCAUGAUGUUGGAAUUAAACCUUUCUAAAGAAAAAAAUAUAUUUAAUGGAGUUAAGUCUUGA